GAGGGGGGGGGGGGUGAAUAGGUGAUCCUGUAAAAACUUCAAACUUAAGCCACAAAAACUUGUUAAGUGUUAGCACGAUUAUUGCCAAGUGGCUAAGGUGAAGUCUCAACAAUCUCAACAAAACACAGUACCACAAGAGAAUCAAGCACAGAGUGACACAGUGGUUUUAUCCCGUGGUUCGGCCAAGACCAACGCUUGCCUACUCCACGUUGUGGCGUCCCAACGGACGAGGGUUGCAAUCAACCCCUCUCAAGCGGUCCAAAGACCCACUUGAAUACCACGGUGUUUUGUUUUCCUUUCACUAUCCCGUUUGCAAGGAAUCUCCACAAAUUGGAGUCUCUUGCCCUUACAAGUAUAUGAUCACAAAUGAAACACAGAGUAAGGGAGGGAAGCAACACACACAAAUCCACAGCAAAAGCGCACACACACGGCCAAGAAUCGAGCUCACAAGACUAUCUCAGAGUUCUCACUUAGAACAGAGCUCGAAUCACUUAGAAACACAAACGAAUGCGCAGAGACUUAGUGUGGAUGAUCAAGAAUGCUCAAAGGUUGCUUGUGUGUCUCCUCCAUGCGCCUAGGGGCUCCUUUUAUAGCCCCAAGGCAGCUAGGAGCCGUUGAGAGCAAAUCUGGAAGGCCAUCUUUGCCUUCUGUCUCGUGGCGCACCGGACAGUCCGGUGCACACCGGACACUGUCCGGUGCCCGAUUUGUUUCCAUAGAAAGCGAAGCCGACCGUUGCCGACCGUUGCAGAUCUGGCGCACCGGACAGUCCGGUGCACACCGGACAGUCCGGUGCUUCCUUCCGACCGUUGGCUCGGCCACGUGUCGCGCGCCGAUCGCGCGGCCGACCGUUGGCCCGGCCGACCGUUGGCUCACCGGACAGUCCGGUGCACACCGGACAGUCCAGUGAAUUUUAGCCGAAGUCGCCGGAGAAAAACCCGAGAGCGGCCUCUUCGGCCGAGGCAGCCUGGCGCACCGGACACUGUCCGGUGCACCACCGGACAGUCCGGUGCCCCAGACCGAAACAGCCUCUUGGCUGUACACAGCCAAGUCUUCUCUUCUCUUCUUCUUUCUGUUUCUAACACUUAGACAAAUAUAUUAGUACACAAAACCAAUGUACUAAGGCUUAGAAACAUACCUUUACUUGUGAUUUGCAACUUGUCCAUCCAUGGGCAUAUUUUCACAUUUUGGCACCUGUGUUUGCACUUAAUCACCAAAAUACUUAGAAAUGGCCCAAGGGCACAUUUCCCUUUCAAUCUCCCCCUUUUUGGUGAUUUAUGCCAACACAACAUAAAGCAACUAGAACAAGUGCAAAAUCACUUCAAAUAAAAACUCAAAUUGGUUUUGAUUCAAUUUUGGCAUAUAUGGAUCAUCCUUUGCCACCACUUGGUUUGUUUUUGCAAAUCAAACUCAAAUCUCUAUCUAUAAGUCAAACACACAUAUUGAAGCAUAAAGAGAGUCAUUUCAAAAGAAUUUGACCACGGAUUUCAAAAACUCCCCCUUUUUCCCAUAAUCAACACUUCUCCCCACAAGAAGCCAACUUUUGAAAAUAGAGACAAUAAGAGACAAUAAAAGCUUUUGACAAAACAAAAACUCUAUUCUACUAUUUUCAAAAUCUCUCAAGUGGUAGCUGAUCCAUUUAUCGCUUUGGCCUUUAUUUUCUCCCCCUUUGGCAUCAAGCACCAAAACGGGAUCAAUCUUGGCCUUUUAACCUCAUUGCCUCACCAAAGUCUUCAAUUAAGAGCAAAUGGCAAUAAGAUUUCAUGAGAUGAACUUGGAAUUAGUUACCCUCUCAUCGGAGUGCAGUGGAAGUCUUUCAUGGUCCAAGUCCACCUUUUCCCUUUCAAUCCUCCUUCGAGACUAAAUUAUCAAACUCAAGCACAUGGUUAGUCUUAAAGGGUCAAGUUGUAACACAUCUCCCCCUACACAUGUGCAUCACUUUGCAACGGACUUGUGAGGUCCAGGGAGUGUUUGUACAACUUGAGCACCAUAAUAAGCAACAUAAUGCAAAAAGGAACAUGAUCAAAAGCAUAACUACAUGUAUGCUACAAUUCAAUCCAGGUUCCGCGAAUCUAAGACAUUUAGCUCACUACGCAACCUGCAAAAGGUCUUCUCAUCUAGAGGCUUAGUGAAGAUAUCGGCUAGCUGGUUCUCGGUGCUAACGUGAAACACUUCGAUAUCUCCCUUUUGCUGGUGGUCUCUCAAAAAGUGAUGCCGGAUGUCUAUGUGCUUUGUGCGGCUGUGUUCAACAGGAUUCUCCGCCAUGCGGAUAGCACUCUCAUUGUCACAUAGGAGUGGGACUUUGCUCAGAUUGUAGCCAAAGUCCCUGAGGGUUUGCCUCAUCCAAAGUAGUUGCGCGCAACACUGUCCUGCGGCAACAUACUCGGCCUCAGCGGUGGAUAGGGCAACGGAAGUUUGUUUCUUAGAGUUCCAUGACACCAGGGACUUUCCUAAGAAUUGGCACGUCCCCGAUGUACUCUUCCUAUCGACCUUACAUCCAGCAUAGUCGGAGUCUGAGUAUCCAACUAAGUCAAAGGUAGACCCCUUUGGAUACCAGAGCCCGAAGCAAGGCGUAGCAACCAAAUAUCUAAGAAUUCGCUUCACCGCCACUAAGUGACACUCCUUAGGAUCGGAUUGAAAUCUAGCACACAUGCAUACGCUAAGCAUAAUAUCCGGUCUACUAGCACAUAAGUAAAGCAAAGAACCUAUCAUUGACCGGUAUGCUUUUUGAUCAACGGACUUACCUCCUUUGUUGAGGUCGGUGUGUCCGUCGGUCCCCAUCGGAGUCUUUGCGGGCUUGGCGUCCUUCAUCCCAAACCGCUUUAGCAGAUCUUGUGUGUACUUCGUUUGGGAGAUGAAGGUGCCGUCCUUGAGUUGCUUCACUUGGAACCCAAGGAAGUAGUUCAACUCGCCCAUCAUCGACAUCUCGAAUUUCUGCGUCAUCACCCUGCUAAACUCUUCACAAGACUUUUGGUUAGUAGAACCAAAUAUUAUGUCAUCGACAUAAAUUUGGCACACAAACAAAUCACCAUUACAAGUCUUAGUAAAAAGAGUUGGAUCGGCUUUCCCAACCUUGAAAGCAUUAGCAAUUAAGAAAUCUCUAAGGCAUUCAUACCAUGCUCUUGGGGCUUGCUUAAGUCCAUAGAGCGCCUUAGAGAGCUUACACACAUGGUCGGGGUACCGUUCAUCCUCGAAGCCAGGGGGUUGCUCCACGUACACCUCCUCCUUGAUUGGCCCGUUGAGGAAAGCGCUCUUCACAUCCAUUUGGAACAACCUGAAAGAAUGGUGAGCGGCAUAUGCUAGCAAGAUUCGAAUUGACUCUAGCCUAGCCACAGGAGCAAAGGUCUCCUCAAAAUCCAAACCUGCGACUUGGGCAUAACCUUUUGCCACAAGUCGAGCCUUGUUUCUCGUCACCACCCCGUGCUCGUCCUGUUUGUUGCGGAACACCCACUUGGUUCCCACAACAUUUUGCUUCGGACGAGGCACCAGUGUCCAAACUUCAUUGCGCUUGAAGUUGUUUAACUCCUCUUGCAUGGCCAACACCCAGUCUGGAUCUAGCAAGGCCUCUUCUACCCUGAAAGGCUCAAUAGAAGAGACAAAGGAGUAAUGCUCACAAAAAUUAACUAAUCGAGAUCGAGUAGUUACUCCCUUGCUAAUGUCACCCAGAAUUUGGUCGACGGGAUGAUCCCUUUGAAUCAUCGCUCGAACUUGGGUUGGAGGUGCCGGUUGCACUUCUUCCUCCAUUACGUUAUCAUCUUGUGCUCCCCCUUGAUCACACGCCUCCUUAUGAUGAACCUGUUCAUCGUCUUGAGUCGGGGGAUGCACCAUAAUUGAGGAAGAGGGUUGAUCUUGCUCAUCUUGUUCCUGUGGCCGCACUUCUCCAAUCGCCAUGGUUCGUAUAGCGGCCGUCGGGACAUCUUCUUCAUCUACAUCAUCACAAUCAACAACAUGCUCUCUUGGAGAGCCAUUAGUCUCAUCAAAUACAACGUCGCUAGAGGCUUCAACCAAACCCGAUGAUUUGUUGAAGACUCUAUACGCCUUUGUAUUUGAGUCAUAACCUAACAAAAACCCUUCUACAGCUUUGGGAGCAAACUUAGAAUUUCUACCCUUCUUCACUAGAAUGUAGCAUUUACUCCCAAAUACACGAAAGUACGAUACAUUGGGUUUGUUACCGGUUAGUAGCUCAUACGACGUCUUCUUGAGGAGGCGAUGAAGGUAGACCCUGUUGAUGGCGUGGCACGCUGUGUUCACGGCUUCCGUCCAAAAGCACUCGGGGGUCUUGAACUCUCCUAGCAUCGUCCUCGCCAUGUCGAUGAGCGUCCUGUUCUUCCUCUCUACCACACCAUUUUGCUGUGGUGUGUAGGGAGCGGAGAACUCGUGCUUGAUCCCUUCCUCUUCAAGGAACUCCUCCACUUGAAGGUUCUUGAACUCGGACCCGUUGUCGCUUCUUAUCUUUUUCACUUUGAGCUCAAACUCAUUUUGAGCUCUCCUGAGGAAGCGUUUGAGGGUCCCUUGGGUUUCAGACUUAUCCUGCAAAAAGAACACCCAAGUGAAGCGGGAAAAAUCAUCAACAAUAACUAAACCAUACUUACUUCCCCCUAUGCUUAGAUAGGCGACGGGUCCGAAGAGGUCCAUAUGCAGUAGCUCCAGGGGUCUUGACGUGGUCAUCACAUUCUUGCUGUGAUGCGCUCCUCCCACCUGUUUACCUGCCUGACAAGCUGCACAAGGUCUAUCUUUUUCGAAAUGUACAUUUGUUAGACCUAUCACAUGUUCUCCCUUUAGAAGCUUGUGGAGGUUCUUCAUCCCCACAUGUGCUAAGCGGCGAUGCCAUAGCCAGCCCAUGCAAGUCUUAGCCAUUAAGCAUGCAUCUAGACCGGCCUCUUCUUUUGCAAAAUCAACUAAAUAAAGUUUGCCGUCUAGUACACCCUUAAAAGCUAGUGAACCAUCACAUCUUCUAAAGACAGACACAUCUACAUUUGUAAAUAAACAAUUAUAUCCCAUUUGACAUAAUUGACUGACAGAUAGCAAAUUAUAUCCAAGACUCUCCACUAAGAAUACAUUUGAUAUAGAAUGCUCAUUUGAAAUUGCAAUUUUACCUAGCCCUUUUACCUUGCCUUGAUUCCCAUCACCGAAUAUAAUUGAAUCUUGGGAAUCCUUAUUUUUGACGUAGGAGGUGAACAUCUUCUUCUCCCCCGUCAUAUGGUUUGUGCAUCCGCUGUCAAUAAUCCAGCUUGAACCCCCGGAUGCAUAAACCUGCAAGGCAAAUUUAGGCUUGGGUCUUAGGUACCCAACUCAUGUUGGGUCCUGCAAGGUUAGCACAAAUGUCCUUAGGGACCCAAAUGCAAGUCCUGUCUCCCUUGCAUUUUGCCCCUAACUUCCUAGCAACAAUUUUCUUAUCCUUUCUACAAAUAGCAAAGGAAGCAUUUAAAGCAUAAUAAAUUGUGGAAGGUUCAUUCACUACUUUCCUAGGAGCAUGAAUAGCAUUCUUUCUAGACACAUGAUGAAUAGUAUUUCUCUUAGGAACAACAUUUCUCCUAGUAACAUUUCUAUCAUACACAUAAGAGGAACUAGGAGCAAACAUGGCAUGAGAGUCAAAAUCAUCAAAAGCAUUAUAACUCCUAUAAGCAUUUCUAGUUUGUCUCCUAUCAUAAUACAUAAAAGCAUGGUUCUUUUGCACAUUACUAGCCAUAGGGGCCUUCCCUUUCUCCUUGGCGGGAAUGGGAGCCUUAUGGCUUGUUAAGUCCUUAGCUUCUCUCUUGAAGCCAAGUCCAUCCUUAAUUGAGGGGUGUCUACCAAUUGUAUAGGCAUCCCUUGCAAAUUUUAGCUUAUCGAAAUCAUUCUUGCUAGUCUUAAGUUGGGCAUUAAGACUAGCCACUUCCUUAUUUAAUUUGGAAAUUAAAACUAGAUGUUCACUACAGGCAUCAACAUCGAAAUCCUUACACCUAGUGCAAAUCUUAACAUGUUCUACACAAGAAUUAGAUUUAUUUGCUACUUCUAACUUAGCAUUUAAAUCAUUGUUAACACCUUGUAAAGUAGAAAUGGUUUCAUGACAAGUAGAUAGUUCAUAAGAAAGCAUUUCAUUUCUUUUUACUUCUAAAGCAUAUGAUUUUUGUGCCUCUACAAAUUUAUCAUGUUCAUCAUACAAUAAAUCCUCCUGCUUUUCUAAAAGCCUAUCCUUUUCAUUCAAUGCAUCAAUCAAUUCAUUGAUUUUAUCUAUCUUAGAUCUAUCUAAGCCCUUGAACAAGCAUGAAUAAUCUAUGUCAUCAUCACUAGACUCACUAUCACUAGAAGAAGCAUAAGUGGAGUCUUGAGUACUCACCUUCUUCUCCCUUGCCAUAAGACAUGUGAGACGCUCGUUGGGGAAGAGAGCCGAUUUGUUGAAGGCAGUGGCGGCGAGUCCUUCAUUGUCGGAGUCGGACGAGGAGCAAUCCGAGUCCCACUCCUUGCCUAGAUGCGCCUCGCCCUUUGCCUUCUUGUAAUGCUUCUUCUUUUCCCUCUUGUUUCCCUUUUCCUGGUCACUAUCAUUAUCGGGACAGUUAGCAAUAAAAUGACCAAGCUUACCGCAUUUGAAGCAUGAUCGCUUCCCCUUGGUCUUAGUCUUGCUCGGCUGUCCAUUGCGACCCUUUAGCACCGUCUUGAAUCUCUUGAUAAUGAGGGCCAUUUCUUCUUCAUUAAGACCGGCCGCCUCAAUUUGCGCCACCUUGCUGGGUAGCGCCUCCUUGUUCCCUGUGGCUUUGAGAGCAAAAGGUUGCGGCUCGUUGAUCGGUCCGUUCAACGCGUCAUCGACGUACCUUGCCUCCUUGAUCAUCAUCCGCCCGCUCACGAAUUUUCCAAGUACUUCUUCGGGCGUCAUCAUCGUGUACCUGGGGUUCUCACGAAUAUUGUUCACGAGAUGAGGAUCAAGAACGGUAAAGGACCUGAGCAUUAGUCGGACGACGUCGUGGUCCGUCCAUCGCGUGCUUCCGUAGCUCCUUAUUUUGUUGACAAGGGUCUUGAGCCGGUUGUAUGUUUGAGUUGGCUCCUCGCCCCUUAUCAUCGCGAACCGUCCAAGCUCGCCCUCCACCAACUCCAUUUUGGUGAGCAAGGUAGCGUCAUUUCCCUCAUGAGAGAUCUUGAGGGUAUCCCAGAUUUGCUUGGCGUUAUCCAAGCCACUCACUUUAUUAUAUUCAUCCCUGCACAAUGAGGCUAGAAGAACAGUAGUAGCUUGUGCAUUCUUAUGGAUUUGCUCAUUAAUGAAUAUAGGACUAUCCGAACUAUUAAAGUGCAUUCCACUAUCUACAAUCUCCCAUAUGCUAGGAUGGAGAGAGAAUAGGUGACUACGCAUUUUGUGGCUCCAAAAUCCGUAGUCCUCCCCAUCAAAGUGUGGGGGCUUGCCGAGUGGAAUGGAAAGCAAAUGUGAAUUUGAACUAUGCGGAAUACGAGAGUAGUCAAAAGAAAAGUUAGAAUUAACCGGUUUCCUUUGUUUGUCGUAGUCGUCGUCCUUUUGGGAAGAAGAGGACUCAUCGCUGUCGUAGUAGACGAUCUCCUUGAUGCGUCUUGUCUUCUUCUUCUUCCCAUCUCUUCGCUUGUGGCCCGAGCCCGAGUCAUUGGACUUGUCAUCCCUUGGCUCGUUGACGAAGGACUCCUUCUCCUUGUCGUUGAUCACAAUUCCCUUCCCCUUAGGAUCCAUCUCUUCGGGCGGUUAGUCCCUUUCUUGAAGAGAACGCCUCUGAUACCAAUUGAGAGCACCUAGAGGGGGGGGGUGAAUAGGUGAUCCUGUAAAAACUUCAAACUUAAGCCACAAAAACUUGUUAAGUGUUAGCACGAUUAUUGCCAAGUGGCUAAGGUGAAGUCUCAACAAUCUCAACAAAACACAGUACCACAAGAGAAUCAAGCACAGAGUGACACAGUGGUUUUAUCCCGUGGUUCGGCCAAGACCAACGCUUGCCUACUCCACGUUGUGGCGUCCCAACGGACGAGGGUUGCAAUCAACCCCUCUCAAGCGGUCCAAAGACCCACUUGAAUACCACGGUGUUUUGUUUUCCUUUCACUAUCCCGUUUGCAAGGAAUCUCCACAAAUUGGAGUCUCUUGCCCUUACAAGUAUAUGAUCACAAAUGAAACACAGAGUAAGGGAGGGAAGCAACACACACAAAUCCACAGCAAAAGCGCACACACACGGCCAAGAAUCGAGCUCACAAGACUAUCUCAGAGUUCUCACUUAGAACAGAGCUCGAAUCACUUAGAAACACAAACGAAUGCGCAGAGACUUAGUGUGGAUGAUCAAGAAUGCUCAAAGGUUGCUUGUGUGUCUCCUCCAUGCGCCUAGGGGCUCCUUUUAUAGCCCCAAGGCAGCUAGGAGCCGUUGAGAGCAAAUCUGGAAGGCCAUCUUUGCCUUCUGUCUCGUGGCGCACCGGACAGUCCGGUGCACACCGGACACUGUCCGGUGCCCGAUUUGUUUCCAUAGAAAGCGAAGCCGACCGUUGCCGACCGUUGCAGAUCUGGCGCACCGGACAGUCCGGUGCACACCGGACAGUCCGGUGCUUCCUUCCGACCGUUGGCUCGGCCACGUGUCGCGCGCCGAUCGCGCGGCCGACCGUUGGCCCGGCCGACCGUUGGCUCACCGGACAGUCCGGUGCACACCGGACAGUCCGGUGAAUUUUAGCCGAAGUCGCCGGAGAAAAACCCGAGAGCGGCCUCUUCGGCCGAGGCAGCCUGGCGCACCGGACACUGUCCGGUGCACCACCGGACAGUCCGGUGCCCCAGACCGAAACAGCCUCUUGGCUGUACACAGCCAAGUCUUCUCUUCUCUUCUUCUUUCUGUUUCUAACACUUAGACAAAUAUAUUAGUACACAAAACCAAUGUACUAAGGCUUAGAAACAUACCUUUACUUGUGAUUUGCAACUUGUCCAUCCAUGGGCAUAUUUUCACAUUUUGGCACCUGUGUUUGCACUUAAUCACCAAAAUACUUAGAAAUGGCCCAAGGGCACAUUUCCCUUUCAGGCUCCAGAGCUCCCCUAGUGGCCCUCAGCCCCUCGGGCAAGGGGAAGGGGGCUACGAGCAGUUCUUCUGCCCUGGGUGAUUCUGAGAGGUCGGAGGGAGAGAGGCGGCACCGACUGUGUCGCGCUGACGGGUCUUUCGUUGGGGAUCCGCCCCUUGAUUCGGACCUCCCCCAGAAGCGCUAGAGGACAGCUAGCGGGGGGCGGGGCCAAGGAGGCCGGCUCCUCGGCCCAGGGCUCGCAGAGGCGCGUCAGUCCUCCACCUGCGCCACCAAUCCCGCCGCCACCAUCAUCCGACUCGCCGCCGCCGUAGGGGCAGCAGCAUCAACGGCAGCAACAGCAGGAGGGGCAGCGGAUGUCUCGCUUCCAAGGUUGCUGGAAGGUCCAGGACCCCAAGUAAGUGUACCCCUUUCCAUUUUCCUCCAUUAGUCUAGUCAUCAUGUUGACAUGUAUUAACCCGUCCUUUGCUCAUUAGGGCCUCUUCCUCCUCUAUCUCCAAAGUCGCUCCUACUGGUGAGUCCGGCUCCCAGCAACAGGUGUCUGCUGGCCUCGAUGCCGGCGACCUGCCUCCGCCUGCCACUGUUGGGGCGGCGCCAUCGGGCCCCCAGGUUCUGACUGCUGCAGGCGCGGCAGGGUCGUCGGGCCCCCAGGAUCCAGCUGCCACUGCCGAGGCAGUGCCGUCGGGCCCCUAGGCCUCAGCUGAGGAUCUGAUAGCAGCAGCAUUGCCAACGGCUACUGCAGGCCCAACGGCGGCGGCGAUGUCGCCGAAUAUGCUGUCGGCGUCGGCGGAAGCCACGGGGGGCGCGUCCGAUUCCAUCCCACUGCCCGUUCUGGAGGAGCCGGAGGUUAUUCUUGGGCGGCGGCUCCAGACCGGCGCCGGGCCAGAAACGAUGCCACCUCCCCUCCCUCAGGUGUUGUCCCAUGCUCACCAGGCUCUCCGGGAGACCGAGGCGGCGAUCCUGUGGGAGUGGGAGGCGCUCGAGACUAAGCGCCAGCACCUUGGCGAUUGGCACUCCCAGCUGGAGGAACGUACCCAGGCCGCGUCCUACCAAUUUGCUUUGGAGUGGUCCGAGCUUGAGCAUGGGCGCGAGGACCUCAAGGAGGACCUGAAGAGGGUGCUCGAGCGGGAGCGAGAGGUGACUUAGGAGGAGAAGAGGCUGGUCAGGAAGAAAGAGCACUUGGACCAGCAGGAGGCAGCCAUCACGGAAUUCCAUGAGAAGUUGAAAGCCUAUAAUGCGAUGCUGGAGGAGCAGAGGGAUGAGCAUACCGCGACUGAAGCGGCGCUGCAAAAGUGCAGCAGGAGCUUGAUGAUAGGGCUAGCAACAUCUCUCUCGCCGAGGAAAACCUCAAGGCGAAGGAUGCUUCCCUAGAGGAGCGGGCGACGGAUCUCACCCGAUAGGAGAAGGACCUUGCCUAGAGGGAGGAGAUGUGGGAAAGGCGGGAAAAGUUGCUGGCCGAGCAUGAGCUCGAGGCGGAGGAGAAAGAAACAAAUUGGAGGAGAAAGAGUGGACACUAGAGGAGUAGGUCUGCCGGUUCUAGGCAACGCAAGCGCGGGUAGCGCAAACGGCGCAGGCGGCUCCGGGUUCCCAGGCGGUAGAGGCGAUGAAGAAGACGCUAGAAGAUCUUUGGUCAGAGGAUCACAUCGGGGUUCAGCGUAUCGCUGCAUGGGCCGCCGAGGCGAGCUUGGCUCUAGUACCGUUGGGGGUGAGCCCCAUCCCAGUGUUGAAGCAGUCGGUGUCCAUUUUCGACGUGCUCUCGGUGUUGGAUUUCGCUGCUGACCGCCUCCGGCGCCUUGAUCAGAUCCUUGGUGCUCGCCUGGAGGCUGAGGGCAGCAGACUCUGCCGGGCGGUAAUAGAGUACAUUCUGACGUGCUUCCAGAGCCACGACCCGGCCAUCUCCUUGGGGCCGGUGAUUGCCCGUCCGAUGGCCGAUACCGAAGACGCCGCCCGGGGGAGCGUUGAAAGGGAAUUAGGCUUACACCUAGUCCCUAAUUAAUUUUGGUGGUUGAAUUAACCAACACAAAUAAGUGGACUAACUAGUUUGCCCAAGUGUAUAGAUUAUACUGGUGUAAAAGGUUCACACUCAGCCAAUAAAAAGACCAAGUUUUGGAUUCAACAAAGGAGUAAAGGGGCAACCGAAGGCACCCCUGGUCUGGCGCACCGGACUGUCCGGUGUGCCACCGGACAUGUCCGGUGCACCAAGGGGACUCAGACUCAAACUCGCCACCUUCGGGAAUUCCCAGAGGCGACUCGGCUAUAAUUCACCGGACUGUCCGGUGUACACCGGACAGUGUCCGGUGCGCCAAGGGAGGUCGGCCUCAGGAACUCGCCAGCUUCGGGAAACUCCAACGGCUAGUCCGCUAUAAUUCACCGGACUAUCCGGUGUGCACCGGACUGUCCGGUGCGUCUCCGGAGCAACGGCUACCUCCGCGCCAACGGCUCUCUGCGGUGCAAUAAAUGCGCGCGCAGCGCGCGCAGAUGGCAGGCGUGCCCAUACUGGCACACCGGACAAGGAACAGUAGAUGUCCGGUGUGCACCGGACACCCAGGCGGGCCCACAAGUCAGAAGCUCCAACGGUCAGAAUCCAACGGCAGUGAUGACGUGGCAGGGGGCACCGGACUGUCCGGUGUGCACCGGACUGUCCGGUGCGCCAUCGAGCAGUCAGCCUCCCAACGGCCACAUUUGGUGGUUGGGGCUAUAAAUACCCCAACCACCCCACCAUUCAUUGCAUCCAAGUUCUCUACUUCCCAUCUACUACAAGAGCUCUAGCAUUCAAUUCUAGACACACCAAAGAGAUCAAAUCCUCUCCAUAUUCCACACAACGCCCUAGUGAUUAGAGAGAGAGAUUUGCUUGUGUUCUUUCGAGCUCUUGCGCUUGGAUUGCUUCCUUCUUUCUUGAUUCUUUCUUGUGAUCAAACACUCACUUGUAAUUAAGGCAAGAGGCACCAAUUGUGUGGUGGCCCUUGCGGGAAGUUUGAUUCCCAAGUGAUUUGAGAAGAGAAGCUCACUCGGUCCGAGGGACCGAUUGAGAGAGGGAAGGGUUGAAAGAGACCCGGCCUUUGUGGCCUCCUCAAACGGGGAGUAGGUUUGCAAAAACCGAACCUCGGUAAAACAAAUCCGCGUGUCACACUCUUCAUUUAAUUGCGAUUUGUUUUGCUCCCUCUCUCGCGGACUCGUUUAUACUUCUAACGCUAACCCGGCUUGUAGUUGUGUUUAUAUUUGUAAAUUUCAGUUUCGCCCUAUUCACCCCCCUCUAGGCGACUUUCAAUUGGUAUCGGAGCCCGGUGCUUCAUUAGAGCCUAACCGCUCGAAGUGAUGUCGGGAGAUCACGCCAAGAAGGAGAUGGAGACCGGCGAAAAGCCCACUACAAGCCACGGGAGCACUUCAUCGGAAGAGUCCCGCACCAAGAGGAAGGAGAAGAAGAAGGACUCCUCCAAACGGAAGGAGAAAAAGUCUUCCUCUUCUCACCACAAAGAGAAGAAGGAAAAAUCUUCUUCCCACAAGCCGCAUCGGAAAGGCGACAAGCACAAGAGGAUGAGGAAAGUGGUCUACUACGAGACCGACACUUCAUCAACAUCGACCUCCGACUCCGAUGCGCCCUCCGUCACUUCUAAGCGCCAAGAGCGCAAGAAGUAUAGUAAGAUCCCCCUACGCUACCCUCGCAUUUCCAAACAUACACCUUUACUUUCCGUCCCAUUAGGCAAACCACCAACUUUUGAUGGUGAAGAUUACGCUAGGUGGAGCGAUUUAAUGCGAUUUCAUCUAACCUCGCUCCACAAAGGUAUAUGGGAUGUUGUUGAGUUUGGUGCACAGGUACCGUCGGUAGGGGAUGAGAACUAUGAUGAGGAUGAGGUGGCCCAAAUCGAGCACUUCAACUCUCAAGCAACAACAAUACUCCUCGCCUCUCUAAGUAGAGAGGAGUAUAACAAAGUACAAGGGUUGAAGAGCGCCAAGGAGAUUUGGGAUGUGCUCAAAACCGCGCACGAGGGAGACGAGCUCACUAAGAUCACCAAGCGGGAAACGAUCGAGGGGGAGCUCGGUCGGUUCCGGCUUCGCAAAGGGGAGGAGCCACAACACAUGUACAACCGGCUCAAGACCUUGGUGAAUCAAGUGCGCAACCUCGGGAGCGUAAAGUGGGAUGACCACGAGAUGGUUAAGGUUAUUCUAAGAUCUCUUAUUUUCCUUAACCCUACUCAAGUCCAAUUGAUCCGUGGUAAUCCUAGAUAUACUAAAAUGACCCCCGAGGAAGUUAUCGGGAAUUUUGUGAGUUUUGAGUGCAUGAUCGAAGGCUCGAGGAAGAUCAACGAGCUUGAUGAUGCCACCACAUCCGAAGCUCAACCCGUUGCAUUCAAAGCAACGGAGGAGAAGAAGGAGGAGUCUACACCAAGUCGACAACCAAUAGACGCCUCCAAGCUCGACAAUGAGGAAAUGGCGCUCGUCAUCAAGAGCUUCCGCCAAAUCCUCAAGCAAAGGAGGGGGAAGGAUUACAAGUCCCGCUCCAAGAAGGUUUGCUACAAGUGUGGUAAGCCCGGUCAUUUUAUUGCUAAAUGUCCUAUAUCUAGUGACAGUGACCGAGGUGACGACAAGAAGGGGAGGCGAAAGGAGAAGAAGAGGUACUACAAGAAGAAGGGCGGUGAUGCCCAUGUUUGUCGGGAGUGGGACUCCGACGAAAGCUCAAGCGACUCCUCCGACGACGAGGACGCCGCCAACAUCGCCGUUACCAAGGGACUCCUCUUCCCCAACGUCGGCCACAAGUGCCUCAUGGCAAAGGACGGCAAAAAGAAGAAGGUUAAAUCCAACUCCUCCACUAAAUAUGAGUCUUCCAGUGAUGAUAAUGCUAGUGGUGAGGAAGAUAAUUUGCGUACUCUUUUUGCCAACCUUAACAUGGAACAAAAGGAGAAAUUAAAUGAACUAAUUAGUGCCAUCCAUGAGAAGGAUGAUCUCUUGGACUCCCAAGAGGACUUCCUAAUCAAGGAAAAUAAAAAACAUGUUAAGGUUAAAAAUGCUUACGCUCUACAAGUUGAAAAAUGUGAAAAAUUGUCUAGUGAGCUAAGCACUUGCCGUGAGAUGAUUGACAACCUUAGAAAUGAAAAUGCUAGUUUAAAUGCUAAGGUUGAUUCUCAUGUUUGUAAUGUUUCAAUUCCCAAUCCUAGAGAUAAUAAUGAUGAUUUGCUUGCUAGGAUUGAAGAAUUAAACAUGUCUCUUGCUAGCCUUAGAUUAGAGAAUGAAAAUUUGAUUGCUAAGGCUAAAGAUUUUGAUGUUUGCAAAGUUACAAUUGCCGAUCUUAGAGAUAAAAAUGAUAUACUUCGUGCUAAGAUUGUUGAACUUAAUUCUUGCAAACCAUCUACAUCUACCACUGAGCAUGUCACUAUUUGUACUAGAUGUAGAAAUGUUGAUAUUGAUGCUAUUCAUGAUCAUAUGGCUUUAAUUAAACAACAAAAUGAUCAUAUAGCAAAACUAGAUGCUAAAAUUGCCGAGCACAACUUAGAAAAUGAGAAAUUUAAAUUUGCUCGUAGCAUGCUUUAUAAUGGGAGACGCCCUGGCAUUAAGGAUGGCAUCGGCUUCCAAAGGGGAGACAAUGUCAAAAUUAGUGCCCCUCCUAAAAGAUUGUCAAAUUUUGUUAAGGGCAAGGCUCCCAUGCCUCAGGAUAACGAGGGUUACAUUUUAUACCCUGCCGGUUAUCCCGAGGACAAAAUUAGGAAAAUUCAUUCUAGGAAGUCUCACUCUGGUUCCAACCAUGCUUUUAUGUAUAAGAGUGAGACAUCUAGUUCUAGGCAACCAACCCGUGCUAAGUUGCCUAAGAAGAAAAUUCCUAAUGCAUCAAAUGAACAUGCCAUUUCAUUUAAGACUUUUGAUGCAUCUUAUGUUUUGACUAACAAAUCCGGCAAGGUAGUUGCCAAGUUUGUUGGGGGCAAACACAAGGGGUCAAAGACUUGUGUUUGGGUACCCAAAGUUCUUGUUUCUAAUGCCAAAGGACCCAAAACCGUUUGGGUACCUAAAGUCAAGAACUAAAAUUGUUUUGUAGGUUUAUGCAUCCGGGGGCUCAAGUUGGAUACUCGACAGCGGGUGCACAAACCAUAUGACUGGGGAGAAAAGGAUGUUCUCCUCAUAUGAGAAAAACCAAGAUCCCCAACGAGCUAUCACAUUCGGGGAUGGAAAUCAAGGUUUGGUCAAAGGUCUUGGUAAAAUAGCUAUAUCUCCUGACCAUUCUAUUUCCAAUGUUUUUCUUGUAGAUUCUUUAGAUUACAAUUUGCUUUCCGUUUCACAAUUAUGUCAAAUGGGCUACAACUGUCUAUUCACUGAUGUAGGUGUCACUGUCUUUAGAAGAAGUGAUGAUUCAAUAGCAUUUAAGGGAGUGUUAGAGGGUCAGCUAUACUUAGUAGAUUUUGAUAGAGCUGAACUCGACACUUGCUUAAUUGCUAAGACUAACAUGGGUUGGCUCUGGCACCACCGACUAGCCCAUGUUGGAAUGAAGAAUCUUCAUAAGCUUCUAAAGGGAGAACACAUUUUAGGAUUAACAAAUGUUCAUUUUGAGAAAGACAGGAUUUGUAGCGCGUGCCAAGCAGGGAAGCAAGUUGGAGCUCAUCAUCCACACAAGAACAUCAUGACGACCGACAGGUCACUGGAGCUCCUACACAUGGAUCUAUUCGGCCCGAUUGCUUACAUAAGCAUCGGCGGGAGUAAGUACUGUCUAGUUAUUGUGGAUGAUUAUUCUCGCUUCACUUGGGUAUUCUUUUUACAGGAAAAAUCUCAAACCCAAGAGACCUUAAAGGGAUUCUUGAGACGGGCUCAAAAUGAGUUCGGCUUAAGGAUCAAGAAAAUAAGAAGCGACAACGGGACGGAGUUCAAGAACUCACAAAUUGAAGGCUUUCUUGAGGAGGAGGGCAUCAAGCAUGAGUUCUCUUCUCCCUACACCCCUCAACAAAAUGGUGUAGUGGAGAGGAAGAAUCGAACUCUAUUGGACAUGGCAAGAACCAUGCUUGAUGAGUACAAGACACCGGACCGGUUUUGGGCCGAAGCGGUCAACACCGCCUGCUACGCCAUCAACCGGUUAUAUCUUCACCGAAUCCUCAAGAAGACAUCAUAUGAACUCCUAACCGGUAAAAAGCCCAACAUUUCAUACUUUAGAGUUUUUGGUAGCAAAUGCUUUAUUCUUGUUAAAAGAGGUAGAAAAUCUAAAUUUGCUCCUAAAACUGUAGAAGGCUUUUUACUUGGUUAUGACUCAAACACAAGGGCAUAUAGGGUCUUUAACAAGUCCACUGGACUAGUUGAAGUCUCAUGUGACGUUGUGUUUGAUGAAACUAACGGCUCUCAAGUAGAGCAAGUUGAUCUUGAUGAGAUAGGUAAUGAAGAGGCUCCAUGCAUAGCGCUAAGGAACAUGUCCAUUGGGGAUGUGUGUCCUAAGGAAUCCGAAGAGCCUCCAAGUGCACAAGAUCAACCAUCCUCCACCACGCAAGCAUCUCCACCAACUCAAAAUGAGGAUGAGGCUCAAGUUGAUGAAGGGCAAAAUCAAGAAGAUGAGCCACCUCAAGAUAAUGGCAAUGAUCAAGGGGGAGAUGCAAAUGAUCAAGAAAAGGAGGAUGAGGAAGAACCAAGGCCGCCACACCCAAGAGUCCACCAAGCAAUCCAACGAGAUCACCCCGUCGACACCAUCCUCGGCGACAUUCAUAAGGGGGUAACCACUCGAUCUCGUGUUGCACAUUUUUGUAAACAUUACUCUUUUGUUUCCUCUAUUGAGCCACACAGGGUAGAGGAAGCACUUCAAGAUUCGGAUUGGGUGAUGGCGAUGCAAGAGGAGCUCAACAACUUCACUAGGAAUGAGGUAUGGCAUUUAGUUCCACGUCCUAAUCAAAAUGUUGUAGGAACCAAAUGGGUCUUCCGCAACAAGCAAGACGAGCAUGGUGUGGUGACAAGGAACAAAGCUCGACUUGUGGCCAAAGGAUACUCCCAAGUCGAAGGUUUGGAUUUCGGUGAAACCUAUGCACCCGUAGCUAGGCUUGAGUCAAUUCGCAUAUUAUUGGCCUAUGCUACUUACCAUGGCUUUAAGCUUUAUCAAAUGGACGUGAAAAGUGCUUUCCUCAACGGACCAAUCAAGGAAGAGGUCUAUGUUGAGCAACCUCCCGGCUUUGAAGACAGUGAGUAUCCUAAUCAUGUCUAUAAGCUCUCUAAGGCGCUUUAUGGGCUCAAGCAAGCCCCAAGAGCAUGGUAUGAAUGCCUUAGAGAUGUUCUUAUUGCAAAUGGAUUCAAAGUCGGAAAGGCCGAUCCUACACUCUUUUACUAAAACUCUUGAAAAUGACUUAUUUGUAUGCCAAAUUUAUGUUGAUGAUAUUAUAUUUGGGUCUACUAACGAGUCUACAUGUGAAGAGUUUAGUAGGAUCAUGACUCAGAAAUUCGAGAUGCCAAUGAUGGGGGAGUUGAAGUAUUUCUUAGGAUUUCAAGUGAAGCAACUCCAAGAGGGCACCUUCAUUUGUCAAACAAAGUACACUCAAGACAUUCUAACCAAGUUUGGAAUGAAGGAUGCCAAGCCCAUCAAAACACCCAUGGGAACUAAUGGGCAUCUCGACCUCGACACGGGAGGUAAGUCCGUGGAUCAAAAAGUAUACCGGUCGAUGAUUGGUUCAUUGCUUUAUUUGUGUGCAUCUCGACCGGACAUUAUGCUUUCCGUUUGCAUGUGUGCAAGAUUCCAAUCCGACCCUAAGGAAUCCCACCUUACGGCCAUCAAACGAAUCUUGAGAUAUUUGGCUUAUACUCCUAAGUUUGGACUUUGGUACCCUCGGGGAUCCACAUUUGAUUUAAUUGGUUAUUCGGAUGCCGAUUGGGCGGGGUGCAAAAUCAAUAGAAAGAGCACAUCGGAGACUUGCCAGUUCUUGGGAAGAUCCUUGGUGUCUUGGGCUUCAAAGAAGCAAAAUUCGGUCGCUCUUUCCACCGCCGAAGCCGAGUACAUUGCCGCAGGCCAUUGUUGCGCGCAAUUACUUUGGAUGAGGCAAACCCUGCGGGACUACGGUUACAAAUUAACCAAAGUCCCUUUGCUAUGUGAUAAUGAGAGUGCAAUCAAAAUGGCUGACAAUCCCGUCGAGCAUAGCCGCACUAAGCACAUAGCCAUUCGGUAUCAUUUUCUUAGGGAUCACCAACAAAAGGGAGAUAUCGAGAUUGCUUACAUUAAUACUAAAGAUCAAUUAGCCGAUAUCUUUACCAAGCCACUUGAUGAACAAACUUUUACCAAACUUAGGCAUGAGCUCAAUAUUCUUGAUUCCCGCAACUUCUUUUGUUAGAUUGCACACAUAGCUCAUUUAUAUACUUUUGAUCAUAUCUCUUUUAUAUAUGCUAUGACUAAUGUGUUUCCAAGUCUACUUCAAAUCAAGUCAUAGGUAUAUUGAAAGGGAAUUGGAGUUUUUUCGGCGAAGACAAAGGCUUCCACUCCGCAACCCAUCCUUCGCCGUCGCUCCAAGCCACUCUCCAUCUUUGGGGGAGAGAACAAAAGGACUUCAUCUUUGGUAUAAUCUUAACUCAUUUGUUUAUGACCAAAGAGGAAGUCAUUACUUCGUGGGCUCUAAUGAUUCCGUUUUUGGCGAUUCAUGCCAAAGGGGGAGAAAGUAUGAGCCCAAAGCAAAAGGACCGCACCAUCACCAAUUUCAAAAAACUUAGUGCUUUCCAAAAGUAUUUAUCAAUUGGUAUCCUAUUGUGUUCAAAAGGAGAAGAAAAUUAGUUUUUCAAAAAUGUAUGUCAAAACCCUCUUGAACACUAAGAGGUGGAUCUCCUUUAGGGGGAGUUUUGUUUAGUCAAAGGAAAAGCAUUUGAAAUAGGGGGAGAAAAUUUCAAAUCUUGAAAAUGCUUUGCAAACUCUUAUUCAUUUACCUUUGACUAUUUGCAAAAGAUUCUUGAAAUGGAUUCACAAAAAGAAUUUGCAAAAACAAAACAUGUGGUGCAAACGUGGUCCAAAAUGUUAUAUAAGAAAGAAACAGUCCAUGCAUAUCUUGUAAGUAUUUAUAUUGGCUCAAUUCUAAGCAACCUUUACACUUACAUUAUGCAAACUAGUUCAAUUAUGCACUUCUAUAUUUGCUUUGGUUUGUGUUGGCAUCAAUCACCAAAAAGGGGGAGAUUGAAAGGGAAUUAGGCUUACACCUAGUCCCUAAUUAAUUUUGGUGGUUGAAUUAACCAACACAAAUAAGUGGACUAACUAGUUUGCCCAAGUGUAUAGAUUAUACAGGUGUAAAAGGUUCACACUCAGCCAAUAAAAAGACCAAGUUUUGGAUUCAACAAAGGAGCAAAGGGGCAACCGAAGGCACCCCUGGUCUGGCGCACCGGACUGUCCGGUGUGCCACCGGACAUGUCCGGUGCACCAAGGGGACUCAGACUCAAACUCGCCACCUUCGGGAAUUCCCAGAGGCGACUCGGCUAUAAUUCACCGGACUGUCCGGUGUACACCGGACAGUGUCCGGUGCGCCAAGGGAGGUCGGCCUCAGGAACUCGCCAGCUUCGGGAAACUCCAACGGCUAGUCCGCUAUAAUUCACCGGACUGUCCGGUGUGCACCGGACUGUCCGGUGCGUCUCCGGAGCAACGGCUACCUCCGCGCCAACGGCUCUCUGCGGUGCAAUAAAUGAGCGCGCAGCGCGUGCAGAUGGCAGGCGUGCCCAUACUGGCACACCGGACAAGGAACAGUAGAUGUCCGGUGUGCACCGGACACCCAGGCGGGCCCACAAGUCAGAAGCUCCAACGGUCAGAAUCCAACGGCAGUGAUGACGUGGCAGGGGGCACCGGACUGUCCGGUGUGCACCGGACUGUCCGGUGCGCCAUCGAGCAGUCAGCCUCCCAACGGCCACAUUUGGUGGUUGGGGCUAUAAAUACCCCAACCACCCCACCAUUCAUUGCAUCCAAGUUCUCUACUUCCCAUCUACUACAAGAGCUCUAGCAUUCAAUUCUAGACACACCAAAGAUAUCAAAUCCUCUCCAUAUUCCACACAACGCCCUAGUGAUUAGAGAGAGAGAUUUGCUUGUGUUCUUUCGAGCUCUUGCGCUUGGAUUGCUUCCUUCUUUCUUGAUUCUUUCUUGUGAUCAAACACUCACUUGUAAUUAAGGCAAGAGGCACCAAUUGUGUGGUGGCCCUUGCGGGAAGUUUGAUUCCCAAGUGAUUUGAGAAGAGAAGCUCACUCGGUCCGAGGGACCGAUUGAGAGAGGGAAGGGUUGAAAGAGACCCGGCCUUUGUGGCCUCCUCAAACGGGGAGUAGGUUUGCAAAAACCGAACCUCGGUAAAACAAAUCCGCGUGUCACACUCUUCAUUUGCUUGCGAUUUGUUUUGCUCCCUCUCUCGCGGACUCGUUUAUACUUCUAACGCUAACCCGGCUUGUAGUUGUGUUUAUAUUUGUAAAUUUCAGUUUCGCCCUAUUCACCCCCCCUCUAGGCGACUUUCAAGCGUGCAAGACACCGUAGACGUGGUGGCCAAGCGCUUCCAGCGAGAUCCCGCUGAUGAUGAGUAGUGGGCUCUGCGAAGAGAAAGCAAAGGUUCCACUGGGAAGCGGCUUAUCAUAUUUUGGUUUUGUAAGAUACCUUUAAGUACUAUUUGAACUUAUCUGCAUGUUACUUCCCCCUUGCUAUGUGCGUUGUUAUCAACUUCUUCCCUGUUGCUUGGCCCCUCUGGAAUGUGGUCUCGACUUGUCGAGGCUGGAUGCCAGUAUAUCUAAGAAAGAGUUGGUGACCUGGCCCCCAGGAGGGUACUUCGACUGGGAUCUAGACCUGCACGCAGCCUUAGCUAGGAAGUUUUAGUAGCGCACCCAUCGGACCCAUUAAUUGGUAUCCUUCAUCUUUUGAUAAAAACAAUGGUGGCAAGCUUAAGCAGAAUAAGAUCACCAUAAGGCAAAUCUGGGGUCGAGUGAAUCUCUUCAUAACCUGGUGUUUAUGAGCAUAAAACAACGGACCGGGUUUAUAAGGGCGGACCUUACCGGGUUGGCGUACAUACAAGUGCUACCUAGUUACAAAGGAAGAAAACUGCAUUCCCCAGUUUUUCUUUUAUGGGAAGAACUUACGGAGGUGCUCUAUGUUCCAGGGAUUGGGCAGAAACUCUCCUUCAGUUGUGGCGAGGCGGACACACCCGGGUCGUCAUACUUCCGUCACCUUGAAGGGUCCUUCCCAGCUGGGGGAGAGUUUAUGGAGCCCUUCUCAGUUCAGUACUCGCCUUAGGACUAGGUCCCCAACCCUGAGCUCCUUACUAUGCACGAACCGUUGGUGGUAACGCCUGAGCGCUUGGUUGUACCGUGCAUUUCGGAUGGCUGCUUGCCAUCUGCGCUCAUCGAUGAGGUCCACGUCUUCACGCUGCAGCUGUCCCUGCAUAGAUUCCUCGAAAGCCUGGACCCGAGGAGAACCCAUGAUGAUUUCUGGGGGAAGACAGGCUUCGGCCCCGUAGACCAGGAAGAACGGGGUCUCCCCGGUGGCUCGGCUGGGUGUUGUUCGGUUCCCCCAUAGCACGGAUGGGAGCUCACUGACCUAAUUCACACCAUGCUUCUUCAAGUAGUCAUAGGUGCGCGUCUUGAGUCCCUUGAGGAUCUCUACAUUUGCCCUUUCCGCUUGGCCAUUGCUUCUAGGGUGGGCCACGGAUGCGAAGCAGAGUUGGGUGCCGAUGCCCUCGUAAUAUUCUUGGAAGAUUCGACUUGUAAACUGGGUUCUGUUGUCCAUGAUGAUACGGUUUGGGACCCCAAAUCUACAGACGAUGGACUUGAGGAAAGCGACAGCGGCACCUUGGGUGAUGUUGACCACAGGGGUGGCCUCUGGCCACUUAGUGAACUUGUCGAUGGCGACAUAGAGGUACCGGUACCCGCCAACGGCCCUGGGAAAUGGCCCUAGGAUAUCCACCCCCCAUAUGGCGAAUGGCCAAGAGGGUGGAAUCAUUUGCAGAGCCUGAGCUGGUGUGUGCAUUUGUUUUGCGUGGAAUUGACACGCCUUGCAGGACUUCACCAUCUCAGCUGCAUCCUGGAGAGCGGUUGGCCAGUAAAAGCCAUGCCAGAAGGCCUUACCGACCAGUGUGCGGGAUGAUGAAUGACUUCCGCAGUCUCCUCCAUGGAUCUCCGUGAGCAACUCAUGGCCCUCUUCCUGGGUAAUGCAUCGCAUGUGAAUGCCGUUGGGGCCACGGUGGUAGAGAUCCCCUUCCACCACCGCGUAACGCUUAGCCAACCGCACUAUGCGUUCUAUGGACACAUGGUCUUCAGGAAGGAUAUUCUCCUUUAGGUAGUCCCGGAUCUCAGAGAUCCAUGCAUCGGGACCACUAUGAGAUAUUGGCUGCGAUGCUAAGGGGCUGGCAGGCCCCCCUGUAGCAUACACAGCCUUUGGUGGGUUCUGGGACGCCACCAGGACCGCUAGCUUUGAGGUGCUAGUCUCGCCCCCUUCGCCCAGUUUGGCAGGCUAGACGGUGGGUCUCAGCAGCCGUCUUUCGAAGACGCCCUCGGGCACGGGUGCCUAAGUUGACCUUCACGAAGAGGUCAUCUGCUACUGAGUUGUCGGCCCGAGGAACAUGUUGCAGUUCUAGGGCCGUGAAGUCUUUCUCCAGUUUCCUUACGUGAAGAAGGUAGGCUGCGAGCCUGGGCUCAUUGCAGCUACACUCUCCGCGGACUUGCUUGAUGAUCAGCUAGGAGUCUCCGUUUACCAGGAGCUGGUGGAUGCCUAGGGAUAGGGCCGCCGAUAAGCCAAAGAUCAGUGCCUCGUACUCUGCCAUGUUGUUGGUGGCUUUGAACUCAAGGUGCACCAUGUACUUCACUUGAUCUCUGCUUGGGUCGAUGAGGAUCACCCCGGCCCCGCUGACUUGUUGGCGGGCAGACCCGUCGAAGUAGAGCGUCCAGUGGGGCUCGGUGAAGACCGGACCCCUGGGUUCCGCAGGUGUGGGGUCCGAGUCAGGACCCGGACCCCCAGGGACGCUUGAGGGGGGUGUCCACUCCACGAUGAAGUCAGCCAGGACCUGACUCUUGAUGGCGUGGCGAGGUCGGAAGUCCAGCUGGAACUCAGCGAGCUCCGCAGCCCACUUGGCAAUGUUCCUAUGGCGUUAGAGUUGUGGAGGAUGGCCCUUAAUGGGAAGGAGGUCACCACCACAAUACUGUGCGCUUGGAAAUAAUGGCGUAGUUUCCUGGACGCGACGAGCACAACAUAGAAGAGUUUGUGCGUCUCAAGGUACCUGGUUUUCGCCUCAUGGAGGACCUCACUGACGUAGUAGAGCGGCCUCUGAACGGUGCGGACCCCUGUAGCCGGUCCCAAGUUCUCAAGUUCCUGGCUUUCUGGUGCCGGUCUCUCGACGACCAACACCAUGCUCACCGCUUCUGCGGCCGUCGCAAUGUAUAAAUAUAGUGGCUCCUCUAGUUCUGGAGCCACCAAUAUUGGCAGAGACACCAAGUGCUUUUUCAACUCCUGGAAGGCUUGCUCCGCCUCUUCGGUCCAAGAGAAGGGCCCGGAUUUCCGUAGCAGCUUGAAGAAGGGCAGCGCUCUCUCAGCCAGCCUCGAAAUGAAGCGGCUAAGGGCGACCAAUGAUCCCGUAAGCUUCUGGACGUCCUUGACUCGGGCCGGGGGCCUCAUGCCUCAAUCGCUCUGAUCUUCUCCGAGUUUGCUUCAAUGCCCCAGUACGAAACCAGGAACCCUAGCAAUUUCCCAGCGGAAAUGCCGAAAACGUACUUGUCUGGGUUCAGCUUCGUGCGGGUUGCUCGUAGCUUGUCGAAGACCAGGGUCAAGUCUUCCACUAAGGUCGACCCUCUCUUAGUCUUGACCACGAUGUCAUCGACAUAGACUUCUACUUUGUCUCUAAUUAGGUCCCCGAAAGUCUUACCCAUUGCCCACACAAAUGUAGGCAAGGAAUUUUUCAGACCGUACGACAUAACAACAUAGCAGUAAAGCCCAUCCACUGUUACAAAAGCGGUAUGCUUUCUAUCUUCCCUAGACAUUUGGAUUUGGUGGAAACCAGAGUAAGCGUCUAAGAAUGAUAAUAGAUCGCACCCAGAGGUAGAAUCCACGAUUUGGUCUAUACGUGGCAGCGGAUACGAGUCCUUGGGACAAGCCUUUUUCAGGCUGGUGUAGUCGAUGCACAUCCGGAGCUUCCCAUUCGCUUUGGGGACAAUGACUGGGUUGGCCAGCCAUAUUGGGUGAUGAACCUCUUCGAUGAAGCCAGCGUCUAGCAGCUUCCGGACCUCCUUUCGGAUGAAGUCCUGUCGCUAAAUAAACUGUUUGCGAGGCUUCUGACUCACCGGCCUGGCGUCGGGGUUGAUCUUCAGGCAGUGCUCGAUCACCUCCCUGGGGAUCCCAGGCAUCUGCAAUGGCUCCCAUGCGAAUAUGUCGGCAUUUGCCUGGAGGAAGGCGAUGAGCGCGAGUUCCUAUUUCUCGUCCAGAUCACUCGCAAUGCGAGUGGUCUGGGUGGAAUCUGCAGCAAGACGGAUGGCUUUGAUGGGGACACCAUCCGCUCCGGAUGGUUGUACCUUUGGCGCCUUGGGGGCGCCUUGGUACCGGAGGUUGAGGGAUUCCUCCCUCCGUCGUCUGGGUGAGCAGUCUCUGCCGCUAGGGCAUGCAGCUUUUCUAGACAGGCAGCCUGAUACCACAUUGCUAUGGUAUCUUUCACCUCCAUUUUUUGUUUGAUUUGACAUGAGGAACAUCUCCUGUCCUUUCUUUGACUCUUUUUCUUUUUUUAUAUGGGAAAUGAUCCCAAAUGAUAAGUGAAUAGGUGUGGAAGUUAUAAUUGUAAAUAAACCAGGAUCGAAUCUAUGGAAGCAUUGGUUUAUACGUUCCUUUUAGUUUCGACUUUAGGGAUA
RNAcentral lists this long non-coding RNA (24741 nucleotides) under Zea mays. RNAcentral's name for it is "long non-coding RNA (ZMAY_LNC004114)". The record is from RNAcentral. Lineage: Eukaryota; Viridiplantae; Streptophyta; Magnoliopsida; Poales; Poaceae.